This 117-nucleotide transfer RNA is filed under the name Nitrospira sp. CR1.2. RNAcentral describes it as "tRNA-Leu". The record is from RNAcentral. Lineage: Bacteria; Pseudomonadati; Nitrospirota; Nitrospiria; Nitrospirales; Nitrospiraceae.
GCACCUGUUUUCGCAGUAAAAACGGGGAAACCAUUUGAUACACCGAGCUUUCUAAAAAGUGUCCAGGCCUGUUUCCUAAACCGCGGGUCGCACGUUCAAUUCGUGUCGGGGGCACCA